GACGAACGCUGGCGGCGUGCUUAACACAUGCAAGUCGAACGGUGAAGCUCCAGCUUGCUGGAGUGGAUCAGUGGCGAACGGGUGAGUAACACGUGAGCAACCUGCCCCUGACUCUGGAAUAAGCGCUGGAAACGGCGUCUAAUACUGGAUACGAGAAGGGUCCGCAUGGGCACUUUCUGGAAAGUUUUUCGGUUGGGGAUAGGCUCGCGGCCUAUCAGCUUGUUGGUGAGGUAAUGGCUCACCAAGGCUACGACGGGUAGCCGGCCUGAGAGGGCGAACGGCCACACUGGGACUGAGACACGGCCCAGACUCCUACGGGAGGCAGCAGGGGGGAAUAUUGCACAAUGGGCGAAAGCCUGAUGCAGCGACGCCGCGUGAGGGAUGACGGCCUUCGGGUUGUAAACCUCUUUCAGCAGGGAAGAAGCGAAAGUGACGGUACCUGCAGAAGAAGCACCGGCUAACUACGUG
RNAcentral lists this ribosomal RNA (468 nucleotides) under uncultured bacterium. RNAcentral's name for it is "partial 16S ribosomal RNA". It matches the Rfam family "Bacterial small subunit ribosomal RNA", at positions 28 to 507 of the family's 1533-position model. The record is from RNAcentral.